Molecule: ribosomal RNA, 253 nt
Filed under: uncultured bacterium
Lineage: Bacteria
Description: partial 16S ribosomal RNA
Rfam family: Bacterial small subunit ribosomal RNA
Source: RNAcentral
UACAGAGGAGGCAAGCGUUGUUCGGAAUCACUGGGCUUAAAGCGCGUGUAGGCGGCCUGGUAAGUACCCUGUGAAAUCCCUCGGCUUAACCGUGGAAUCGCAGGGUAUACUGCCGGGCUUGAGGCGGAUAGAGGUGCCUGGAACUCUAGGUGGAGCGGUGAAAUGCGUAGAUAUCUAGAGGAACGCCCGUGGCGAAAGCGGGGCACUGGGUCCGAUCUGACGCUGAGACGCGAAAGCGUAGGGAGCAAACGGG